This 263-nucleotide unclassified non-coding RNA is filed under the name plant metagenome. RNAcentral's name for it is "partial contains small subunit ribosomal RNA, internal transcribed spacer 1, and 5.8S ribosomal RNA". The stretch from base 1 to 54 matches the Rfam family "Eukaryotic small subunit ribosomal RNA", at positions 1778 to 1831 of the family's 1831-position model. The record is from RNAcentral.
GGAAGUAAAAGUCGUAACGAGGUUUCCGUAGGUGAACCUGCGGAAGGAUCAUUAAAGAGUAAGGGUCUUCGGGCCCGAUCUCCAACCCUUAGUUUAACUACCAUGUUGCUUUGGCGGGCCCGUCUCACGACCGCCGGAAGUUUGGCUUCGACCAAACUUCUGGCCCGUGCCCGUCAGUGGCCCCUUCAAAUUCUUGAUCAAGUAUGAUGUCUUAGUUAAAAACUUAAUAGUUAAAACUUUCAACAACGGAUCUCUUGGUUCUG